UACGAAGGGGGCUAGCGUUGUUCGGAAUACUGGCGUAAAGCGCGCGCAGGCGGUUCUCCAAGUCAGUGGUGAAAGCCCGGAGCUCAACUCCGGAACUGCCAUUGAAACUGUUGAACUUGAGGACGAGAGAGGUGAGUGGAAUUCCCAGUGUAGAGGUGAAAUUCGUAGAUAUUGGGAAGAACACCAGUGGCGAAGGCGGCUCACUGGCUCGUAUCUGACGCUCAGGCGGCGAUAGCCGUGGGGAUCAAACAGG
RNAcentral lists this ribosomal RNA (253 nucleotides) under uncultured bacterium. RNAcentral describes it as "partial 16S ribosomal RNA". It matches the Rfam family "Bacterial small subunit ribosomal RNA", at positions 524 to 776 of the family's 1533-position model. The record is from RNAcentral.